RNAcentral lists this ribosomal RNA (497 nucleotides) under uncultured bacterium. Its description in RNAcentral is "partial 16S ribosomal RNA". It matches the Rfam family "Bacterial small subunit ribosomal RNA", at positions 28 to 507 of the family's 1533-position model. The record is from RNAcentral.
GAUGAACGCUGGCGGCGUGCCUAAUACAUGCAAGUCGAGCGAACAGACGAGGAGCUUGCUCCUCUGACGUUAGCGGCGGACGGGUGAGUAACACGUGGAUAACCUACCUAUAAGACUGGGAUAACUUCGGGAAACCGGAGCUAAUACCGGAUAAUAUAUUGAACCGCAUGGUUCAAUAGUGAAAGACGGUUUUGCUGUCACUUAUAGAUGGAUCCGCGCCGCAUUAGCUAGUUGGUAAGGUAACGGCUUAUCAAGGCAACGAUGUGUAGCCGACCUGAGAGGGUGAUCGGCCACACUGGAACUGAGACACGGUCCAGACUCCUACGGGAGGCAGCAGUAGGGAAUCUUCCGCAAUGGGCGAAAGCCUGACGGAGCAACGCCGCGUGAGUGAUGAAGGUCUUCGGAUCGUAAAACUCUGUUAUUAGGGAAGAACAAAUGUGUAAGUAACUAUGCACGUCUUGACGGUACCUAAUCAGAAAGCCACGGCUAACUACGUG